Molecule: long non-coding RNA, 931 nt
Organism: Chenopodium quinoa (quinoa)
Lineage: Eukaryota; Viridiplantae; Streptophyta; Magnoliopsida; Caryophyllales; Amaranthaceae
Exons: 3
Source: RefSeq, a predicted model, not a curated record
UAUCUUAACUAACGGGUAUGUUUGAUGUAAGAGAUCUUUUAAUAGAGACAACAGGUCUCUUAUAAGCCCUUGGGCCCACAACUUUAUUCAUAGGAGUGAGAUAAGAAACCUGUUGUAGGAGCAACGGGUCUCUUACAUUAUUUUUACUUCUCAUUAUUUACGGGUGUAGUGCCAUCCUUUUGGCCGCUCAAUCUCUCCUCUACAUCUCUUUCUAUCUCACCGACAUUCCUUUGCUAAUUUUUUUCCUUAAAAACUCAUUCCUCAUUUACCUCUAAUUGUGCCAUAAUUUUGCUCAAUCACUCUGAUCCGCAUCUUUUAUCACCGAAUCCCUUUGUUAUUUUUUGUCCUCAAAAACUCAUUCUCUUUCACCUCCAAUUUACUCCCUCUCAUCAAUGGUUUCUUCUACUCUUUUUUUUCCCACCUUCAUCAACGACUUCUUCGAGCAUAUGCAUGCUCCUUGUAUUUUGAGAAGUCUCCACCUUCAAGAUCCCUCUUUGCUUAGCCUCCGACGACAGUUGCGAAGUGCUUCAGUGCAAUAAGAUCUAGAUUUAAGCAUUCAAGAUCUGCUGGAAUUUCGGAAUACCCAAUUUUAACAUAGAGUUGUAAUUGAUUUGAAAUUCCCAACCCCAAAAAUUCAGAGAGACCGGAUCUUGAAGAAUGAAAUUGCAGAAGAUGGAGUAGUACUCCAGCCUUAUUGAUAUAAUAUAGCUGUAAAUUUUAGCGACUUUAAAUAUUUUUGUGUUAAUUUUGCUUGAAUUUUAUGUUAGGUUGUUUUUUUUUUUUUGUAUCUUAUCAAUUUUUUUUUUUUUACCGAGGCUAAUUUCAUAUGGUCUAAAAGUAUUUUUAGGGAAAGUAUUGUAACUUACAAUUUUUUAAUUUUCUGCCAAUUUGUAUAAAGCAUAAAAAUUCAAUAUUCAAAAUUCAAAUGCAA